Long non-coding RNA from Stomoxys calcitrans (stable fly), 1125 nucleotides. RefSeq lists it as uncharacterized. The record is from RefSeq and is a predicted model, not a curated record. NCBI's taxonomy places the organism in Eukaryota, Metazoa, Arthropoda, Insecta, Diptera, Muscidae. The transcript is spliced from 2 exons.
CAAACAAAUGGCGGGGCAAAGGGGGAAAAGAUUGAGGAAUAGAUAGAUAGAACAAUUCAAAGAAAUCCCAGCAGACCGACAAGUGAUUAGAAAAUCAAUGGGGGACAAAAGGGAAAAAUGUAGCGACCAAACACAGACUUCAGGUUCAAGAGCAACAACUGGAAAUGAUUGAGACUGGCAUUGUUACAUGGCCACAAAUCAAACAAAAGCAACGCCAACUAUUGUCACAAAAACCAAAAACAAGUAAAAAAUAAAAAAAAACACGAAUAGAGACUAUAACCAAGUUAUUGGCAAACAUCUUUCCUUUCCCCUCCUCCGGCUGCGCUUGGACCCAUUUCACAGCAUUGCAGCUAAAAGUGGAAAUAGAUUUUAGCAUGGAGGAGAGAAAACUAGAACAGUGUGGCUGAUGCAACUGAUAUGCAAGACCCUGCUUGGGAGACGAAAUGCAAUCUGGGAGGCAUGGGGAUAAAUACAUGGUCAUUGAUAUAUAAGCCAUGGCUUAAUUUCGAAAAGUUAUCAAACAGUUCUCAGCCCUCCAAGUGAAAACUUGCAAUAGUCACACCACAUCAAAAGAAAAAUAAAAAUGUUCAAAUACAUCGCUGCUGUCUUUGCCCUCCUGUUGGCUGUUGCCGCUGCCCUGCCAGCCCCAGUACCUGCUCCUGCCCCAGCUCCUGGACCUUCGCCCAGUCUAUAUCCUUAUUUCCCUGGACCCUAUGUGGUGGGACCUCAUGUCUUGGGUGCUCCUGUUGUUAAAGUGCUCUCUCCCUAUGGUCCCUUCGUCCAUGGACCCGUUGUUGUCGGUUAAAUUAUAGCGAAGCCAACCUGCCCAUAAAUAACAAACAUCUGCUGCCCCUUCCAACUUGAAUGCCUUUGUUUAUGAACUUUGACUUUUGGAGAUUCCUUUGUGAACGUCCAUCGUGUACCCUGUGUAUUUUGUGAACAUUUUUCAUUUUAAUUUCAUUUACUUUUUGUUUUUUCUAAUCAUUCUAUUGUGCUCUUCAUUAACCUUCAUUUUCUAGUUUUGCUAAAUGGCAAAACAUAAAAAUGUAAAAAAUUAAAAGAAAAAUAUAAUUUUUGUAUGCAACUUCAUAGAAAAAAAGCUUGUUGUUUAAAUUUUUAAAAAUA